GCUAACUCUGUGCCAGCAGCCGCGGUAAGACAGAGGGUGCAAACGUUGCUCGGAAUUACUGGGCGUAAAGCGCGUGUAGGCGGACGAGGAAGUCGGGUGUGAAAUCCCUGGGCUCAACCCAGGAACUGCAUCCGAAACUCCUCGUCUAGAGUGCUGGAGAGGGAAGCGGAAUUCCUGGUGUAGAGGUGAAAUUCGUAGAUAUCAGGAGGAACACCGGUGGCGAAGGCGGCUUCCUGGACAGUUACUGACGCUGAGACGCGAAAGCGUGGGGAGCAAACAGGAUUAGAUACCCUGGUAGUC
Molecule: ribosomal RNA, 300 nt
Filed under: uncultured Chondromyces sp.
Lineage: Bacteria; Pseudomonadati; Myxococcota; Polyangiales; Polyangiaceae
Description: bacterial SSU rRNA
Rfam family: Bacterial small subunit ribosomal RNA
Source: RNAcentral